RNAcentral lists this long non-coding RNA (673 nucleotides) under Sorghum bicolor (sorghum). RNAcentral's name for it is "long non-coding RNA (SBIC_LNC012032)". The record is from RNAcentral. Lineage: Eukaryota; Viridiplantae; Streptophyta; Magnoliopsida; Poales; Poaceae.
CGUUCACUCAUACAUGCUGCUUCUACUCUGGAAGUACGCAUCCACAUACAUCCACUCAUUUCCAUCUCCAGAUUCACCCAAAAUUAUUCUACUCCUAUCCAGGAGAGAAUAGGCAAAAAUAUUAUCCAAUCCCUGUUAUUCCCCGUGAAAUAAAUGCUCGAGAUAUUUUGGUUACUACCACUUGCUACAUUAUUCCAAGAGGGUGAGUGUUCUGAAAAAAAGAAGUGAAUACGAGGAAAUAAAAAGGGGCAAGUGCCCGGAACCUCGAAGAAAAGAAAAAGUGAGACGAGAGGUAAAAAUGGACAAGUGUCCGACAGUAGAAUUAGGGGUACAAGAUACCCACCUGAGAGAAAAGAAAAAGAAAAUAUAGAGCAUCUCAUUCCCCUCAAAAAGCUUCAAAGUGCAAGAAAGGUAUGUAUCCCCUCAAAAGAGCAAACGUAGAAUUAGACUUUCACCAUUGUUUUCACCAUUAUCAACAUCAUCACCAUACACCAUUCAUUCACCACACAUGCACAUCUUGAUUUGACUUAUUGACUUGUUUCUCUGGAUCCAUGGUUUGACUAUGCAAUAAAUGUCUUGUAAGUAUGUAUUAGCUGUCUCCCACCUAUGAGCUCUAGAUAUCAAAACCUUAUUAGAGUAGGGUGAGAGAGAAGGCAAUGUCACUAUGCCUCAU